GUGGGGAUGGCUCUGGGCCACCGGCCCAUCCCCAACCAGCCCCCUGCUGCAGCUCACACUGCCAACUUCCUCCUCAACGCCAGCGGCAGCCCCUCGACUCCAGCACCAAGCAGAACAGCCUCUUUUUCCGAGUCCAGAGCAGAUGACAUUGCUCCAGCCAAGAAGGCAAAGCCAACAGCACCUCUGGAUUCAAUCCCAGCUUCAAGACCUGGUCCAGGUA
Molecule: non-coding RNA, 220 nt
Organism: Tinamus guttatus (white-throated tinamou)
Lineage: Eukaryota; Metazoa; Chordata; Aves; Tinamiformes; Tinamidae
Source: RefSeq, a predicted model, not a curated record